Molecule: non-coding RNA, 383 nt
Organism: Centropristis striata (black sea bass)
Lineage: Eukaryota; Metazoa; Chordata; Actinopteri; Perciformes; Serranidae
Source: the annotation of a RefSeq genome assembly
UCAUCAGAAACAUGACUUUGAUCUGCGUCCUCAUUUGGACUCUCCUCUGCUGCUGCUUCACAGAGUCCAGAGGACAGUACACAGUGACUCAGCCUGGAGCAGUGAGCUCUGCUCCGGGAGGCUCCGUCUCCAUCAGCUGUAGGAUCAGUCAGAAGAUCUAUUCAGACUGGUUAAGCUGGUACCAACAGAGAGAUGGAGAAUCUCCUAAACUCCUUAUUUACUAUAUUAGCACUCGUCAGUCAGGGACUCCAGAUCGUUUUACAGGCAGUGGAUCAAACUCUGACUUCACUCUGACCAUCAGUGGAGUUCAGACUGAAGAUGCAGCAGUUUACUACUGUCUCAGUGGUCACUAUCCAAACAGUCAGCGUGUGUUCACACAGUGA